AGAGUUUGAUCAUGGCUCAGAACGAACGCUGGCGGCAUGCUUAACACAUGCAAGUCGAACGCAAGGCUUCGGCCUUGAGUGGCGCACGGGUGAGUAGCGCGUGGGAACCUGCCCUGUCGUGGGGGAUAACCGAGGGAAACUUCGGCUAAUACCGCAUAAGCCGGGAGACCGGGAAAGAUUUAUCGCGAUAGGAGGGGCCCGCGUCGGAUUAGCUUGUUGGUGGGGUAACGGCCUACCAAGGCUUUGAUCCGUAGCUGGUCUGAGAGGAUGAUCAGCCACACUGGGACUGAGACACGGCCCAGACUCCUACGGGAGGCAGCAGUGGGGAAUAUUGGACAAUGGGCGCAAGCCUGAUCCAGCAAUGCCGCGUGAGUGAGGAAGGCCUUCGGGUUGUAAAGCUCUUUCGCACGCGACGAUGAUGACGGUAGCGUGAGAAGAAGCCCCGGCUAACUUCGUGCCAGCAGCCGCGGUAAUACGAAGGGGGCGAGCGUUGUUCGGAUUUACUGGGCGUAAAGGGCGCGCAGGCGGCGAGUUUUGUCAGGCGUGAAAGCCCCGGGCUCAACCUGGGAACUGCGCUUGAAACGGGCUUGCUGGAGACCGGGAGAGGAGAGUGGAAUUCCCAGUGUAGAGGUGAAAUUCGUAGAUAUUGGGAAGAACACCGGUGGCGAAGGCGGCUCUCUGGACCGGAUCUGACGCUGAGGCGCGAAAGCGUGGGGAGCAAACAGGAUUAGAUACCCCCGUAGUCC
This 746-nucleotide ribosomal RNA is filed under the name uncultured bacterium. Its description in RNAcentral is "bacterial SSU rRNA". It matches the Rfam family "Bacterial small subunit ribosomal RNA", at positions 8 to 796 of the family's 1533-position model. The record is from RNAcentral.